AUCCAACUGAAAAGUCCCAAAUAGGACGAAGCACGCAACCUGGAU
Molecule: non-coding RNA, 45 nt
Filed under: Schistosoma mansoni
Lineage: Eukaryota; Metazoa; Platyhelminthes; Trematoda; Strigeidida; Schistosomatidae
Source: RNAcentral